Molecule: long non-coding RNA, 2998 nt
Filed under: Marmota monax (woodchuck)
Lineage: Eukaryota; Metazoa; Chordata; Mammalia; Rodentia; Sciuridae
Source: RNAcentral
UGUACAUGUAAUCUCUUCUGGUAAGACACAUUAUGGCAAAGAUGUGGUGAAUUCAUGGCCAUAUUGAGGAAAAUGCAUGUUUAGUUACUUAAAUCAAGUCUAUUGAGCAGUUUUUUUUAAUAUUGAGAGCUUAUCAAAAUUCUUGGCAUUUGAAUUCAACAUAUUGAUGUGAAAAAAAAUGUGAAAUCCAUAUUCUAAUUCUAGUAAACUUGUCUCUAUUCAGUAUUUAUGUCAUUAAAAAAACACUUCUCAAAGAGUGUAGUAACUAGUAAAAAAAUUAAAAGAUCCUGAAAUCAGACAGAUCUGAAAACAUCUGUAGAUACAUUAACUGUGUGACUUUGAACAAAUUACUGAAUGUGUGCAUGUAGGCUUUGUUUUACUUUUUAGUAAAAUGUAUUUUUUAAAUCAUCUAUCUCAUAGGGAUUUUCUGAGCAUUAAGUGAGAUAGGUUCAUAAGACCUGGCACAUAGUAUACUACCAAUAAGUAGGAUUACAGCUUAUUCAAAUUAAGUUUAUUAAAUGUCUUAAGAUCCAAAGUAAGUCUCAUUAGGUCUUACAUACAACCUCUACUUCUCCACUCACAAAUAUUUAUUUAAAUACAUACCAAGACAGUCAUCCAACAUCUAUUCUCUUGACAUGAAAUAUACAUAUUUUCCAUGAAAAAAAUUGAGAUUCACAGAACUCCAGAGUUAACAUAAACUACUAGUGCUUCAUCUUGCAGAGUCAAAAAACUGAAGUCCCCCAAAUAGAUAAUCUUUCCCGCAGUCACAUGAACCAGUUCUCCUAAAUUCCAACUUAUGGUUCUUUCUGAGACAGUGUGAGCAUAAAAUAAACAUCUUCUUUCUUAUCUUUUAUAGUUUAUGUUUCCUGUUUUCAAAAGUAAUGGUUGUUAGUCUGAUUCAAAUAAAUGCUACCAGGAUCAUGUUUGUUAAAAAAAAAUCUUUAAUGAAUAUUGCUGAUAGUGAAAUUAUACUGCUAUUUUUAAAUAAUGUACUAUCAAAAACUAAUCACACACAGGUUAAUGCAAUGGUGCUACUAUCCAUCACUUAGGGCAGAAUUGAUAGAAACUAUUGGCUUCCCUGUGCUUCUAUGUAGCUUUGGGCUGCUCUGCAUCCUUCUUUCUGUGGCUGCCCAAGUGCUCUUGGUAAAAAGAUAAAAUUCUCAACCUCAUAUUACAAAGCCAUGAAAGAUGGGUUCCUUGCGUCUUCCUCUCUCUGCUAUCUCUGACUUGCUAUCUAGCCCUCUUUCUAUGACAUUCCUCAUAGAAAUAGAAAAAGCAAUCAUGAAAUUCAUCUGGAAAAAUAAGAGACCCAGAAUAGCUAAAGCAAUCCUUAGAGAAAGAGUGAAGCAGGUGGCAUCACUAUAUCAGACCUUAAACUAUACUACAGAGCAAUAGUAACAAAAACAGCAUAGUAUUGGCACCAAAACAGACUGGUAGACCAAUGGUACAGAUUAGAGGACAUAGAGGCUAACCCACAAAAUUACAAUUAUCUUAUAUUAGACAAAGGUGCCAAAAACAUGCAUUGAAGAAAAGAUGGCCUCUUCAACAAAUGUUGCUGAGAAAACUGGAAAUCCAUAUGCAACAAAAUGAAAUUAAAUGCCUGUCUCUCACCAUGCACAAACUCAACUCAAAAUGGAUCAAGGACCUAGGAAUAAAACCAGAGACCCUGUGUCUAAUAGAAGAAAAAGUAGGCUCUAAUCUUCAUCACAUGGGAUUAGGCCCAACUUCCUUAAUAAGACUCCUUUGGCACAAGAAAUAAAAUCAAGAAUCAAUAAAUGGGAUGGACCCAAACUAAAAAGUUUCUUCUCAGCAAAAGAAACAAUCUGUAAGUUGAAUAGAGAGCCUACAUCUUGGGAGCAAAUCUUUACACCUCACACAUCAGAUAAAGCACUCUAAUGUAUAUAAAGAACUCAAAAAGUUAAACACCAAAAAACAAAUAACCUAAUCAAUAAAUGGGCCAAGGACCUGAACAGACACUUCUCAGAAGAUGAUAUGCAAUCAAUCAACAAAUAUAUGAAAAAUUUUUCAUCACUGCUAGCAAUUAGAGAAACGCAAAUCAAAACCACUCUAAGACUUCAUCUCACUCCAGUCAGAAUGGCAGCUAUUAUGAAGACAAACAACAAUAACUGUUGGCAAGGAUGUGGUCGAAAAGGCACACUCAUACACUGCUGGUGGGACUGCAAAAUGGUGCAGCCAAUGUGGAAAGCUGUAUGGAGAUUUCUUGGAAAAUUGGGAAUGGAAUCAUCAUUUGACCCAGUUAUCCCUCUCCUUGGUCUAUACACAAAGGACUUAAAAACAGCAUACUACAGGGACACAGCCACAUCAAUGUUUAUAGCAGCACAAUUCACAAUAGUUAAACUCUGGAACCAACCUAGAUGCCCUUCAGCAGAUGAAUGGAUUAAAAAUGUGGCAUGUAUAUACAAUGGAAUAUUACUCAGCAAUAAAAGAGAAUAAAAUCAUGGCAUUUGCAGGUAAAUGGAUGGAGUUAGAGAAGAUAAUGCUAAGCAAAGUUAGCCAAUCCCAAAAAACCAAAUGUUGAAUGUUUUCUUUGAUAUAAGGAGGCUGAUUCAUAGUGGAGUAGGGAGAGGGAGCAUGGGAGGAAUAGACGAACUCUAGUUAGGGCAGAGGAGUUGGAAGGGAAGAGAGGGGCCAUGGGCUUAGAAAUGAUAGUGGAAUGUGAUAAUCAUUAUUACCCAACAUACAUGUAUGAAGACACGAAUUGGUGUGAAUGUACUUUGUAUACAACCAGAGAUAUGAACAAUUGUGCUCUAUGUGUGUAAUAAAAAUUGUAAUGCAUUCCGCUGUCAUAUAUAAAUUUUAAAAAAGAGGGAGAAUGAAAAAAAAAAUGUCAGUUGCAGUUUGAAUUUGUGAUUCUAUGAUGACUGUCUCUACCACUACACUGAAAGCAAAUGAUAAUGACAAUGUUUUUGUUCACCAUCGAGUCUCAGGACCUCUGUGCUCUUUGUCUGCUACAGGAAAGAAACUCAACAAAUGUGUG